AUUAAUUUCAUCUGUGUGGAACUUGCAUUGUGCUUCUGACUGAAAUCAGCUCUCUCUCACACUGAACUGUGAUUGGUUCUUGAACUGUAGUUCAAAUUGAACAGUUACUGUUAUGUUCACGGCUAAUGGCUAACCACUAACCUGACAGCAGGUGUCCCUCAUGGUUAUGUUUAGCUUUGUUUAGUCCUGCAUCAUGUGACUGAAGCGUGUUCCUGUACCUGUUCUCACCUGCACCGACCCUCACCUGUGUUUCUACACCACGUGAGUGCUUUUGUCUCUCCGAGUCACGCUGGACACGCAGGGUUUAUGACAUCACUGAAAACAGCUGGUGGAACAACACAGACUCGACUUAUGAAAUCAACUCACACGGGUUGUUGUUUGUUACGCAGCGUUUGAUUGGUUGUUGUACUCCCAGGGCUCAGGGACCAACAGCCAAACGUUCAAAACUGUCUGAAAAGGUGGCCGUACACUUAGAAAUGCUGAUCUUUAAAGUAUUAUCUUACAAUAAUAAUAGUGGAGGGUGAAUCCGAGCACUGACCGCCACAACCAGCUGUUUUUAGAACACACACACAAAAUAACCAACUGCUCUUUUAAAGUACAAUAGAGUUUAACUUUAGCACUGAUCAAUAAUCAAUAACUUCCGCCAACAAACCACUAUUGUCUAUUCUAAACACAAUAAGCAAAAUGGCGGGCAGACCAGCGAAACUCAAACAAAAGGGGCAGAGCCAAAAUGGAGGACACACUCUAUUUGUCCUUGUCAGUGCCGACCCGUACUAGCUGCCUGAUCCGUUCUGCACAUGUGCAAAGGGGUCCUGUCAGUCAAAGGUUACCGCAAAAGUGCCUGUUCAAAAUGACUUGUGAUGUGAAUGACUCAUCAGUCCAACUCACACUCAAGAUAACAAAAUGGUUUUUAAUCAUUGGAAAUGUAAUAGUUCGGUCCGUGUAUCAUCGGAUAAUCCGGACUUCACUUGUAAUUAAAAACAAAAAAACUUAAUCUGUUUUGUUUUAAUUCAAUGUUCAUUCAAUACAAUUCAUUCAAUAUAUGGAAAAUACACGUUCCAGAUAGUAUUUCAUUAUGAAAGUUGUUGUAAAUAUACAUCAGAGUAUCGUAGAGAAAUCACAGUGUAAUCCUGUUAUAGAGUCUCUAUUUUUAACUUGGACUAAUAUAAUAUGUUGUUGUCAUUGUGCAAAUCAGGCAGUAAUAAGUACGCACAUGUGCAGAACGGAUAGGGCAGCCGGUGUCGGCACGGAUCGGGCACUGACAAGUGUCAGGUUUUUUAUAACUUAAGUAAGUUCCCUAUUACAUAAUAGUGAACUAUUGCAUUUCCAAUGAUUAAAAAUCAUUUUGUUACCUUGAUUUGAAAGAUUUAGUUUUAGUAUUUUGAACAGGCACAUUUGCGGUAACCUCCUUUGACUGACAGGACCUACUUUGCGUUUGUGUAGUGGAGGGAAGCAGCAGUCUACUUUUAGUGGGGCGAGAGCGGGGCUCAACAUCGUCCUUCUGCAGGCAAAGAAUAUAACGAUCGGGAUCCUAAAAGUGUCUCAGCAAACACAAAACAGUCUGUUGCUAGUCUGGCAAGUUAAGACCUUCCUAGGGAAAAUGAAAGUUCAACAUUGAGCGCCUCCUGUAGUAACCAGAGUUACAGUGGAAAGGCGGUGAGCGACCGGUGCACUCUGCUUUUCUAGAGAGAUAUAUUUAUGGAAUAUAUAAAAGGUUAUUAUUAUUACUAUCAUUAUUAAAGAUGGAGUGCCCUUCUGGCAGUGAGAGUAAUUACACAAACACUGUCGUUGUGUGCUGAUGAUGUAUGCCUCCAGUGAGCUCGCCCCAGGCUCGUGUUCAGAAAUAGUUACAAAAAUACAGAGAGAUUUCCAAGUAAAUGUAAUAGCUACAUAGCCUACUCCAAAUAUUUUACCAACCUGCCCAAGAGCAGUAACGUGUGUCACGUUUAAGCUUCAAGCCGGGAAACAGGGAGAGGACCCAAUGCAGACAGCAGGCAGAGCAGGUUCGGUUCUACAGUUUGAUGAAAAGAACAAGGCUUACUCAGAUUACAUGCAGGCAGCGGUCACAACCAGGUAAGCAGUCAAAAAAAGGCAAACAAGUCCAACAGGGAGCCGGCAAAAACCAAAAUCCAAAAGUCCACAAACGAAGGUGCACGAAAAAGAGCAUAAAUCCAAGAAACACAGAACACUAGGGUCGGGGAGCUUAACACAUACAAUGACGACUGUAGGGCUGCAGCAGUUCAGGGGCCAGUGAUUGCAGUUCUGGGUUUUCCAGAGUGUGCUGCAGCUCAGAGAGUUCAGGAGGCUGUUGCGGCCCAACCGGAGCAGGGGAUGGUGCUGCAGCCCAUUGAAUAGCUGAGUCUCUGUGAUGCUGGACAGCUGCAUCUCUGAGGCACUGGGCAGCUGAGUUUCUGGAGCGCUGAGCAGCGGUAAGGACGUGCAGCUGGGCAGCGGAGAGGCAUGCUGUCAGGACAGGAGCAGGCUGAGGUGCAGGCUGGUGUGAUAGCAGGCCAGAAACCAGGCUGAUGGUUGCGGGGACCUCCAAAAGACAGGCGGGUGCCCAGGCACGGGUUCAGAGCUGGGGCCGGCUCAGGCAGGUUGCAGGCUAAAAAACCCGAGCCUAAAUGACUGGAGUGCAGGCUGAGGUGAAGGCUGGAGGCUAGUGGGCUUGAUGCUAGCAGGCCAAGGUUCAGGCUGAGGAUUAGGAAUGUUAAGAAAGUCUGUGAUCCAAGCAGGUAUCGAGUUCCUUAACCAAGGUUUAGCAGAAAUGUUCUUCUGUCCCAAAGACAGAGCGGCCUCCCUAACCCUCCUCACAAGAAGCCUCUUCCCAAAAGCCUCUUAGACACAUAGUCAGAAACUAAAUCAUUUUGUGAUUUUCAUGAACAGAAUCUGAAGGUGCAGUCGAGGUGUGGAGAGUGUCGGGACGGUGACCCCAGGAUCGUAUCUCUCAUCUUUGCAGAUGAUGUGGUUCUGUUGGUUUCAUCAGACUGACCUCCAGUGAGCACUGGGACAGUUUACAGCUGAGUGUGAAGUAGCAGGAUGAGAGUCAGCACCACCCAGUCUGAGGCCAUGGUACUCUGCUGGAAAACACUGGAUUGUUCCCUCAGGUUGGAGUGAGUCACUGCCCCCAGUGAAGGUGUUCAAAUAUCUUGUUCACCAGUGACGGUCAGGUGGAGGUGAGAUCAACAGGUGGAUCAGUGCAGAGUCAGCAGUAAUGUGGACUCUGUAUCAGACUGGUGGUUCAGAGGUAGCUGAUGCUGAAGGUGAAGCUCUGGAUUCACAAGUGGAGCUCUGUUCCAGUCCUCAGCUGUGGUCCUGGACCUUGCUCAGCCUGCUGCCUCCGCGAUCUGGCCCUGGAUAAGCUGCAGAAAAUUGAUGGAUGGAUAGAUUGUCCAGAUAUGGACUUUAAUGUGAAUGAUGUUUCACAAGAACAGACGAAAAAGCUCAGCUCAGAAAAGUCCUCAGACUUAGAAAUGCACAGUAACACAGUCUGUCGUGUCAGUGACCCUGAGUUUUGACCUGACGGCGACUGAAGCACGAAGGCGUUUAAUUUGUUGUCAGACACAUCAGAGUUUCAGCUGCUGAUUCGGUCACAGAGAUGAAGGUAGAGAGACACCUGCAGACACUGUGAUUCAUCCUCUCUCUCUCCGCUAAACACACACACAGUAACAGCAGGUUUGGAGACUGAAGCUCAGCAGUCAGUCGGGUGGAAACGAGCUGCUGAAGUGAAUCCCAGACGAGCUGCUGGAAUUAAAAAGAUAAUUAACAUUCAAACACACAGAACCAAAACACAGAGAAGAGAGGAGAACACAAAGAGGAGAACAGGUAGACAGAGUUAUUUCACCGAAUAAAAGUUUCUCAACACCUCCAUAGCCCCUCCUCAUCUCAGCACCUCCUUCGAACUUCUUUAUCACUUUUACUUAAUCAAGUCAACUUUAUUUAUAAAUCAUAAUAUCACAAAUAACAAAUUUACCUCAAGGAGCUUUAUAAUCUGUACAGUAUCUGACCCUCUCUGUCCUCAGAGCCGCGAUUGUCCUCAAAUACACCUAAUGAUCUCCUCAGCACCUCCUUACAACUUAAUGGGCUCCUCAGGACCCUCUCUGAAUCUCCUCAGCACCUCCUCAGGACCUCAACACCUCUUUGACACCUCUUCAGAACCGCUUCAGUGCCUCAACACGUCCUAAGAACCUCUUUUAGAACCUCCUCAACACCAACUCAGCCUCCUCAAGAUGUCCUCAGGACUUUCUUAUCACCUGCAUUUUACCUCAACACCUCCUUAGCUUCUUCUUUCUCCUCCUUAGCAACUCCUCAAAAUUUCAACCUUCAUGGCACCUCCUCAACACCUCUGCCCUCUGGACAAAGUCAACACCUUUAGCAUUUUCUCGAGACCUUGUUAAUAGCACCUCAGCACCUCCUAAUAUCUUCUCAGCACCUCCUUGGAACAUCAAUCUCCCUGACACCUCUUGAGGACCUUCUCAACACCUCCUUAUUACCUUUAGUAGGCUAACUCCUAAGGACCAACUGAUGACCUCCUUAUCACCUCCUUACAACUUAAUGACCUCCUCAUCAUCUCGUUGGAUCUCCUCUGUACCUUCUCUGAAUUUCCUCAGCACCUUUUCAUAACCUCCUUAACACCUCCUCCAAACCUCCUCAUCACUUUUAGUACCUCCUAGGGACCUACACACGACUUCCUUAGCACCUCCUUAGAACCCCUUCAGAACCUCUUCAACAACACUUUGGACCACCUCAGGACCUUAACGCCUCCUCAGGAACUUCUUAGAACCUCAACCACCAUGACACCUCUUUAGGGCCUCCUCAGCAUCUCCUUAGGACCUCAACACCUCCUUGGCACCUCAUUCGGACCUUUUCAGCACCUCCUAAAGAACUACUCACAAUCUAUAUCAUCUCCACAGAACUUAGUGAUCUCCUCAGCACCUCCUUUGGACCUCCUCAUAAAUAAACUGUUUUCAUCAGAUUUGAACAAAAUGCAGUGACUGACAGUUAGUUCCUGUUUCCUCGCUUGGUGGAUCAGUUCAGAAGAUAAUAGAGUCCAAAGGGCCUCAAAUGAAGUGGAGAAAGAAAGAAAGAAAUCAGCGCCCAUUCACUCUUCUUCAUGGUGCUGGCCAGUGAAGCUGCAGGAAACACUUGGCCUCUACUUUCUGCGAUUUAUGAUCGCAGUUUUGAACUGAAGAGAUUCCUGUUGAUCUCAUCAUGUGAUCCUGACGAACAAGGACAAAACAUGCGCCCCCUAGAGGACACAAAGCCGUGACAGUUUGUCUGCAUUGUGUUUGAAGCCAUUAUUCCCCGGCCCUGUGUCUCCGUGGAUGUGGCGGUCUACUUCCACUGGCUCUCGACUCCUAUGCUCCCACCGACCUGACUCUCAGCCUCCAAUCACUCCGCUUAGCCAACACACCUGCCUCCAAUCAGCACAUCGUCUGCAGUGUAUCUACCCCGGCUGCUCAUCCAGUCGUCGCCAGAUUGUUGUUUCGACCCUCGUGGUAGUUACUAGUCGGCCAGCUCUUGUUCAUGCUGAAACUCUUUGUCUGUUUGCUCCGUGUUUGCUUUUGUAUCCGCUAACGUGUGUUUCUUUGUUUCUCAGGAUCACUGAUCACCUGCCUGCUCUCCGUUUGCUUCUGCCUGCCUGCCAGCCACGCUCCUCUCAGCCACGCCAUCUCCACCGCCAAUACCUCCACUGCCGUUGUGCCUGCUCCGGAUCCCAAACCCCAGCUAACACCCUCACCCUUCUUCCCUUUAGUCGAUAAAUCCUUUUAUUACAUUUAACCUCCUUUUCUGAGUCCUGCGUGUGAGUCCAGCCCUGUUUGUAAUGUAACACUAUUGCUUUUCCUGAGGUUUCUUACAUUUUUCCCUGUUAAAAGGGUUUUUGGGGGAGUUUUUCUUUAUCCAAAUCGAGGGUCUAAGGACAGAGGGUGUCGUGUGCUGUACAGAUUGUAAAGCCCCUUGAGGUAAAUUUGUGAUUUAUGAUAUUGGGCUAUAUAAAUAAAAUUGACUUGACUUACUUAAACUUCUCUACCCCAUUUAGGGGCAUAGGGCAUCCACCAGAGCUCACCAUCUCACUCCACCCCCUGACUGCUUGGGCCAAUCACCCACCCAGCAGUAACCAAGAUUACUGAAACCGAAACCAGAAGCACUCAUUCUCACUUGACUUGACUUCAUACAACCCACAAAAUAACUCAAUGAGGUAGCUGAGAAACAAUUAUAAUAAGAAGGCUAAAUUCUAUACAAUAACUAGAAAAUAUUAAAUAUAAUAAAAUAAAGAGCUAGAGACUAAAGAUAAGACUAACAUUAACUAACUGUUAACUCCAACAUGAACUGAAUAAACACUGUACAAUGUGGUAAUAUACUGUCAUAUAAUGCAGUUAUUGCUAAAAGAUGUACCAUAAGCUGCUGGUUGAUGUGAAAUGCAUUCUGGGAUACUUGUCUGCCCCAAAUCCACACAUAGUCAGCUCCCAAAGAAUCAUGGGUAAUACAGACGGCGUGAGACCUCUUCAGGUCAUUCAGACUGAACCUGUUUAGACGUGACUCUGAAUGUGAACAGAAGUUUGACUGAUGAUAUUUCAUGAAAACAGACCUGAACUGUCAAAUUGAUGUUUCACCGCUGAUCCCAGAACAGCUUUUACAAUUCAGUUCAAGUCAAUUUACACAGCGCCAAUUCAUAACAGAAGUUAUCUCAUUGCACUUUUCCUAUAGCGCAGGUCGAGACCGAAGUCUUUAUA
Molecule: RNA transcript, 6734 nt
Organism: Siniperca chuatsi (mandarin fish)
Lineage: Eukaryota; Metazoa; Chordata; Actinopteri; Centrarchiformes; Sinipercidae
Exons: 4
Source: RefSeq, a predicted model, not a curated record